Molecule: long non-coding RNA, 548 nt
Filed under: Brassica napus (rape)
Lineage: Eukaryota; Viridiplantae; Streptophyta; Magnoliopsida; Brassicales; Brassicaceae
Description: long non-coding RNA (BNAP_LNC009927)
Source: RNAcentral
CGGUUAGAUAGUAAGUAAAAUUGUAUUUGAUCAUAAUCCCCUUCUUAACUCGAUAAAACUUUUUUUGAAAACAUUUGAUAAGACUCACAAUUAACUAUGUAUCAGUAAACCUCCCCCCAGACUUAAAUUACACUGUUCUCAGUGUAUAUCUAGUCGGAUUUAUGGUGAUAAAUAAAUAAUAAGUACUCAAUUAAACAAGUUAGAACGAUAUACCUGACCAGAAAAGCUCUUGCAGAAACUUUUCCUUUUUCUCUCAGCUCUGGAUCACAUAGCACUAUAACCUUGGUAAAAGGUUCAGAACCUCCUCUGCAGCGCACUCUAUACUCAAGACUUCCCUCUUGACAUACCAAAGGGACUAGUGGCAGGAAAUCUUCAUCUACAUUCCUUUUCUUUUUCUUCUUUCUAUUCUUGGUCAUUCCUCCAGACUUAGACUUUUCAGUCUCGGGCUUUUCUGAAAGUCGGAGGGUGUUGACCGAUGCUGGAAGCUUCAUGUCGAUCGAUUCUGAAGACUGAGAGUCGUCCGAUGCUGAUGUCUUAUUGUCGAUCGA